CCUACGGGAGGCAGCAGUGGGGAAUUUUGCGCAAUGCUCGUAAGAGUGACGCAGCGACGCCGCGUGAAUGACGAAGGCCUUCGGGUCGUAAAGUUCUUUCGACAGGGAAGAAAAUGCCUAUAAGUAACUGUGUAUGUAUUGACGGUACCUGUAUAAGCAGUCCCGGCUAACUCCGUGCCAGCAGCCGCGGUAAUACGGAGGGGGCGAGCGUUGUUCGGAGGGACUGGGCGUAAAGAGCACGUAGGCGGUGUUGUAAGUCAUUAGUCAAAGACUAGAGCUCAACUUUAGUAAGGCUAGUGAUACUAUAAUACUAGAGUAUCAGAGAGGAUUGCAGAAUUCCUGGUGUAGCGGUGAAAUGCGUAGAUAUCAGGAGGAAUACCGUUAGCGAAGGCGGCAAUCUGGCUGGAAACUGACGCUGAGGUGCGAAAGCGUGGGUAGCAAACAGGAUUAGAUACCCCUGUAGUC
RNAcentral lists this ribosomal RNA (465 nucleotides) under uncultured bacterium. RNAcentral's name for it is "partial 16S ribosomal RNA". It matches the Rfam family "Bacterial small subunit ribosomal RNA", at positions 338 to 795 of the family's 1533-position model. The record is from RNAcentral.